CAGGGCCGUAACUACAUUGAGGCAAAUGAGGCAAAUGCCUCAUGUUGGAAAUUUUAUAUAAAAAAAAAAAGAAAAAAAAAACAGAAAGAAAAGAUUGUCUUCAUAUCAAAUUGUUUUAACGGGAAGUGUUUCUUUAUACUCUCAGAUGUCGCCCUUGCAUGUUUUUCGUGGUCCAUAUUUCUAUUUAAUUUUUAGUUUUAAGAGUUGAUGGUUAUUGUUUGUACUCCUGUGUCCCGGGUUUGUCUUUUGUUCAUUUAUUAUGACUAUAUAAAGUCUGAGUGUUGAUUUUCAUUUGUAAACAUGUGGUUUUGCAAUGUUGCAUGUCAACCGAUGUCCAGACAUUGUACAAAAAAAUAUUUUAAGAAUAAAAAACAUCAAUGUAUUGCCAUAUGAUCUUUUACAUUAUAGGGUUAAACUUGCAUUAAGUCGUGUUCAGACCCUUUAACAGAAAAUAAAAGAAGAUGGAGUAAACGUGCACGGGACCUAAUCUCACACAAAAUUAAUGCAUAGAAAAAAUACAAAUGAUCAAUGGUCAAAGUUUUUUCUUGUUUUUCAUCUUGAUAGUUGCUGGAGGGUCUUCAACAAUAAAACAAUCAUUAAUACCGUAAAACAAGGUCAAUAUGAUCCUUAGAGCCGACUCAGUUACUAGUACUUAAAGUAUAAUACUGCACUGUCACUAUAUAUAAAUCUUGUCAUAAAAAAAUCAACAAAAUCUAAGCACAAUACAAGACAAGAACAGAUGGACAGAACCGGUUUUAAUGAUUGUGAGAAUUACGAAUUUUGCUUUAUCCUACAUACCGGUCUACUUUUAAUGUUUUCCCCGUAAAACCCGUAAAAGUCUUAAAUGACAAAGAAUCUAUGUUUUUGCUUUGAGACCAGAAUAUUGUCCAAAAAAAAGCUAAAAAUUAAUUGCGUUUCAAUGUAAGAAAGAGUCCGGGAAACGCUCAGAAUGCACAAUUUUGCUUUAUUUUUCUCAGAGCUUCUGGGGGCCUUGAGCGACCCCCAAACCCCUCGCCAAAUUUUUUCCGCCUCGAUACGCUCGGCGAAUAUAUCUUGCCUCACUAUUAAAAGAGGCUAGUUACGGCC
Molecule: long non-coding RNA, 1086 nt
Filed under: Mytilus galloprovincialis (Mediterranean mussel)
Lineage: Eukaryota; Metazoa; Mollusca; Bivalvia; Mytilida; Mytilidae
Source: RNAcentral